RNAcentral lists this ribosomal RNA (734 nucleotides) under Klebsiella michiganensis. Its description in RNAcentral is "bacterial SSU rRNA". It matches the Rfam family "Bacterial small subunit ribosomal RNA", at positions 75 to 812 of the family's 1533-position model. Lineage: Bacteria; Pseudomonadati; Pseudomonadota; Gammaproteobacteria; Enterobacterales; Enterobacteriaceae. The record is from RNAcentral.
AGAGCUUGCUCUCGGGUGACGAGUGGCGGACGGGUGAGUAAUGUCUGGGAAACUGCCCGAUGGAGGGGGAUAACUACUGGAAACGGUAGCUAAUACCGCAUAACGUCGCAAGACCAAAGAGGGGGACCUUCGGGCCUCUUGCCAUCGGAUGUGCCCAGAUGGGAUUAGCUUGUAGGUGAGGUAACGGCUCACCUAGGCGACGAUCCCUAGCUGGUCUGAGAGGAUGACCAGCCACACUGGAACUGAGACACGGUCCAGACUCCUACGGGAGGCAGCAGUGGGGAAUAUUGCACAAUGGGCGCAAGCCUGAUGCAGCCAUGCCGCGUGUAUGAAGAAGGCCUUCGGGUUGAAAGUACUUUCAGCGGGGAGGAAGGGAGUGAGGUUAAUAACCUCAUUCAUUGACGUUACCCGCAGAAGAAGCACCGGCUAACUCCGUGCCAGCAGCCGCGGUAAUACGGAGGGUGCAAGCGUUAAUCGGAAUUACUGGGCGUAAAGCGCACGCAGGCGGUCUGUCAAGUCGGAUGUGAAAUCCCCGGGCUCAACCUGGGAACUGCAUUCGAACUGGCAGGCUGGAGUCUUGUAGAGGGAGGUAGAAUUCCAGGUGUAGCGGUGAAUGCGUAGAGAUCUGGAGGAAUACCGGUGGCGAAGCGGCCCCUGGACAAAGACUGACGCUCAGGUGCGAAAGCGUGGGAGCAACAGGAUUACAUACCUGGUAGUCCACGCUGUAAAGAUGU